GAGGGCAUAGCUCAGUGGUGGAGAACAUGCUUAGCAUGCAGGGGGACCUGGGUUCAACCCCCAAUACCUCCA
Molecule: transfer RNA, 72 nt
Organism: Camelus ferus (Wild Bactrian camel)
Lineage: Eukaryota; Metazoa; Chordata; Mammalia; Artiodactyla; Camelidae
Rfam family: tRNA
About the family: Transfer RNA (tRNA) molecules are approximately 80 nucleotides in length. Their secondary structure includes four short double-helical elements and three loops (D, anti-codon, and T loops).
Source: Rfam